This 458-nucleotide ribosomal RNA is filed under the name uncultured eukaryote. RNAcentral describes it as "bacterial SSU rRNA". It matches the Rfam family "Eukaryotic small subunit ribosomal RNA", at positions 420 to 876 of the family's 1831-position model. The record is from RNAcentral.
GGAAGGCAGCAGGCGCGCAACUUACCCUAAUCUCGAUUCGAGGAGGUAGUGACAAGAAAUACCGAUGCGGGACCCUACGGGUGCCGCGUUCGGAAUGAGUACGAUUCGAACCACCUAACGAGGAACGAUCGGAGGGCAAGUCUGGUGCCAGCAGCCGCGGUAAUUCCAGCUCCAAUAGCGUACGUUAAAGUUGCUGCAGUUAAAAAGCUCGUAGUUGAACGUUCGGGUUCCGCGGGACGGGGCCGCCCCGCGAGGGACGGCGCCGCCCCGGGGCUCGUGAUAUCUCAUCUCGCCGCCCGUCGCGAGGCGGACGGAGGGAUGGAUGAGGUUACCUGGAAAAAAUCGGGGCGAUCUAGGCGGGCGAACCUCGCCAACGAACGAUCGGACAUGGGAUAACGGAAGAGGGCGUCGGCUCGACUUCGUCGGUUCCUCGGGCCGAGGCACGUACGGUGAAUAGG